This 581-nucleotide ribosomal RNA is filed under the name uncultured bacterium. RNAcentral's name for it is "bacterial SSU rRNA". It matches the Rfam family "Bacterial small subunit ribosomal RNA", at positions 102 to 694 of the family's 1533-position model. The record is from RNAcentral.
ACGGGGUAGUAAUGUGUCGGAACGUGCCCUCUGGACGGGGAUAGCGGCGGGAAACUGCCGGUAAUACCCGAUGAACUCGAGAGAGCAAAGGUGUGAUUCCGCCGGAGGAGCGGCCGACAUGGUAUUAGCUAGUUGGCGGGGUAACGGCCCACCAAGGCUGUGAUGCCUAGGGGAUGUGAGAGCAUGAUCCCCACCAUUGGGACUGAGACACUGCCCAGACACCUACGGGUGGCUGCAGUCGAGAAUCUUCGUCAAUGGGCGAAAGCCUGAACGAGCGACGCCGCGUGUGGGAUGAAGGCCUUUGGGUUGUAAACCACUGUCGAGGGGGAUGAAGGCAUUCAGGUCCUCCUGAAUGUUUGACAGAGCCCUGGAGGAAGCACGGGCUAAGUUCGUGCCAGCAGCCGCGGUAAUACGAACUGUGCGAACGUUAUUCGGAAUCACUGGGCUUACAGGGUGCGUAGGCGGCUUAGCAAGUCAGGUGUGAAAGCCCCCGGCUCAACCGGGGAACUGCGCUUGAAACUGCUGAGCUCGAGUCAGCUAGAGGUACACGGAACUUCCAGUGGAGCGGUGAAAUGUGUUGA